UCUCCACACUGCUGUUGGGUAAGGUGAUC
This 29-nucleotide non-coding RNA is filed under the name Rattus norvegicus (Norway rat). Lineage: Eukaryota; Metazoa; Chordata; Mammalia; Rodentia; Muridae. The record is from RNAcentral.